UACGGAGGGUGCAAGCGUUGUCCGGAUUUAUUGGGUUUAAAGGGUGCGUAGGCGGCCCUGUAAGUCAGUGGUGAAAUACUGCAGCUUAACUGUAGCAUUGCCAUUGAUACUGUAGGGCUUGAGUACAGAUGAGGUAGGCGGAAUUGAUGGUGUAGCGGUGAAAUGCAUAGAUACCAUCAAGAACACCGAUUGCGAAGGCAGCUUACUAAGCUGUAACAUG
This 220-nucleotide ribosomal RNA is filed under the name uncultured bacterium. Its description in RNAcentral is "partial 16S ribosomal RNA". It matches the Rfam family "Bacterial small subunit ribosomal RNA", at positions 524 to 742 of the family's 1533-position model. The record is from RNAcentral.